Molecule: ribosomal RNA, 958 nt
Filed under: uncultured bacterium
Lineage: Bacteria
Description: bacterial SSU rRNA
Rfam family: Bacterial small subunit ribosomal RNA
Source: RNAcentral
GGGGAUGCAGGUGAUCGAGUAGUACACCCGGUCGGAAGGUAGUUGGACGAGCAAUCGUUGGGCGAUACGUACAGAAGCACCGCGUCCAUCUUGCACCAGCAGCCGCUGUAUAAGAAGGUGGCAAGCGUUGUCGGAUUCACUCGUGUACAGGCGCGUACGGCGGUAUGUGAGCGCUUGAUAACGCUGGGGCACAUCGGAAAGCGUAGAGGGUACUGCCAGAGAGUGGACGGGAGAGAGCGAAGACUCCGCGUAGUAGCGAUGUCAUGCGUUGAGAUCAAGAGCAAGGCCGGUGAAGAAGGCUGUGCUGUGGAAGGUUAAUGACGAUGAGACACGAAAGCGUGAGGAGCAAACAGGAUUAGAUACCGUGGUAGUCCACGCCCUAAACUAUGGAUAGUAAGUGUCGAGCGGGUUACCGCCGGUGCCGCAGCUAACGCAUUAAGUAUCCCGCCUGGGGAAGUACGCCCGCAAGGUUGAAACUCAAAGGAAUUGACGGGGGCCCGCCCAAGCGGUGGAGCAUGUGGUUUAAUUGGAGGCAACGGGAAGACCCUUACACAUGUUGGACAUUCACGUAGUAGAAAGGGGAAAGUCUUCCGAGGUAUCAAUUCCAGGGAACUCAGGUGCUGCAUGGCUGUCGUCAGCUCGUGUCGUGAGAUGUUGGGUUAAGUCCCGCAACGAGCGCAACCCCCAUUUUCAGUUGCUACCGGGUCAUCCGGACCAUUUGAAAGGGACUCCCCAGACAAACGGGGAGGAAGGGGGGGAGGAGUUCAAUUCUCCAUGGCCUUUAUCCCAGGGGCCCCCCACUUGUUCCAAUCCCCGGUCCAAAGGAACGCAAACCUGCAAGGGGGAGACAAUCGCAAAAAACCGGCCCCAUUUCAGAUGCAGGUUUCCAAUUCCACCUCAGAAACGGGGAAUCGUUAGUAAUCGCCAACCAGCACGCCGCGGUGAAUACGUUCCCGGG